GUAGGUCAUUCCAAUGGUAAGGUGCCGCAAACUUGAAAGCCUUUUUCCCCAGAUCAGUGCGAACGCGGGGCACAGAGAACAGAAGCAACCCUGGGCUGAAAAUUAUGUCU
This is a long non-coding RNA of Melanotaenia boesemani (Boeseman's rainbowfish), 110 nucleotides long. RefSeq lists it as uncharacterized. The record is from RefSeq and is a predicted model, not a curated record. The transcript has 3 exons. Lineage: Eukaryota; Metazoa; Chordata; Actinopteri; Atheriniformes; Melanotaeniidae.